CAAAGUAUCUUCUGCCCACUGACUUGGUUGAAUGGCCGCAGUACCCUGACUGUGCUAAGGUAGCGUGAUUCUUGUUUUCUUAAUUAGAAAUCUGUUCAAAGAAUGAUAUGUAGAAAAUCUAUUGUUUUUGUAUAAAAUGAAGUUAAAUUAUGAGUGAAAAUUCUCAUUAAUUUAUAAAAGACGAGAAGACCCCACAAAACUUAAUUUGAUUUCUUUUUUAAAAGAUUUAAAAUUUAAAUGGGAACUUUAGAGUAUAAUAAUAACUUAUGUGACCUAUUAUUUUAAUAUUUGAGAAGCUACUUUGGGGAUAACAGGGUAAAAUAUUUAGAGAGUUCUUAUCGAUAAAUGUGAUUACUACCUCGAUGUUGGAUUAUCUUUUCA
RNAcentral lists this ribosomal RNA (381 nucleotides) under Brachionus angularis. RNAcentral's name for it is "partial 16S ribosomal RNA". It matches the Rfam family "Bacterial large subunit ribosomal RNA", at positions 1896 to 2547 of the family's 2925-position model. The record is from RNAcentral. Lineage: Eukaryota; Metazoa; Rotifera; Eurotatoria; Ploima; Brachionidae.